UUCAAACAUCAAAUUUUUUUUAAAUCCCAAACCAUUAGAUAUGAAGAGAGAGAAAAUAAUCUAGACUUCUUUCUUUCUUUUUUUUCCGCUAAUUUUUUCUUCUUCUAAAACUCAUUAAUAUAAUAUAUUCAUAUCUAUUAGAAAUAUUCAUAUACAUGGAAUCAGUCAUCCUUGUUAUUCUCCAACUAAACUAAAAAAAAUCCUUGAAAAAUAAAUCAAUUAAAAUACAAUCAGUCAUCUUCAUCUUCCUCCUCCGCAUUUUACAUCUAAGGGAACCCAUUUCGUUAAUAUCAAGAAUAACUCAAAAUUUGUAUAGAUCAAACAAAACUCAAAAUUCAUUCAUUCCCAUCGAACCAAAACCCAAAAAUUGUACAUAUCAAACCAAACCCAAAAAUCAUUCCAAUCAAAAUAGAAGGAAUCAAGUGAAUCAAGACCAAUAUUAACUGAAACACCAUGAAAACAUUCUAAUUUGGUCCAUCUUUUUACUCACUCAUCAAAGAGUUCAAUAUAAUAACAAUAAAAUUGGACUAAAAAUUGUUACAUCCAGUUCCCCAAUUUCACGCUUCAUUCACUCAGACAACUCCCAGACAAAAACUCAAAAAAACUUAAAAAAUAGAAGAAUAUGCAAGCAUAUCGCAGAAGCUCACCGGCAGCUCGGAAUCGCCGAUAUCCUCCCCGCCGUCGACUAGCGUAUCAACAACCAUAGUUUUGGGCUCCCACGAUCAACAAUCGCCGUCGUCGUCUUCUAAUCGCCGUCGUCGCCUUCUAAUCUGUACAAUCUAAGCUCCCACGAUCUACAGCCCCAGACUUUGCAAACAUAGAUCGAUAGAUAGAUUGAUGAGGUGGAUAGUUUGAUGGAUCAUGGCGAAGAGUGUUUGAGGACUAUCAUCAGCUGUGGAGAUCAUGUGGGUCUCUCAGCUAAAAGACUCCAUUUUUUUCUUUCUGUGGAACUAGGACGAACAUGAGAGAAAUGUCUUGCUGGGUGAUUAUAAAAUAAUUUAACUUAAUUAAUUAUUUUGCUUACUUUCUCUCUUAUUGUCAACAUUGACACAUAGAUUUAAUUGAUUCUCAUGUAUAGCCACGUCAUUCUUCUGUUAAAUAGUUAACACACA
Molecule: long non-coding RNA, 1112 nt
Filed under: Panax ginseng (ginseng)
Lineage: Eukaryota; Viridiplantae; Streptophyta; Magnoliopsida; Apiales; Araliaceae
Description: long non-coding RNA (PGIN_LNC014652)
Source: RNAcentral